Molecule: ribosomal RNA, 1468 nt
Filed under: metagenome
Description: bacterial SSU rRNA
Rfam family: Bacterial small subunit ribosomal RNA
Source: RNAcentral
GGAUCUUUACUUGUAGCAAUACAGGUGAAGUGAUAGUGGCGAAAGGGCGCGUAACGCGUGAGUAACCUACCUUUGAGUUGGGGAUAACUUGCCGAAAGGCGAGCUAAUACCGAAUGUGGUUCUCUGGCGUAUGUCAGGGAAACUAAAGACGGGGAUCCGAAAGGACCUGUCGCUCGAUGAGGGGCUCGCGUCCCAUCAGCUAGUUGGCGGGGUAAUGGCCCACCAAGGCUUACGGGUAGCUGGUCUUAGAGGAUGGUCAGCCGCACUGGGACUGAGACACUGCCCAGACUCCUACGGGAGGCUGCAGUCGGGGAUCAUUUGCAAUGGGCGAAAGCCUGACAAUGCGACGCUGCGUGGAGGAUGAAGGCCUUCGGGUUGUAAACUCCUGUCAUUCGGGAACAAUAAUCUUGGUGUGAAUAGCGCCAGGAAAUGAUGGUACCGGAAGAGGAAGCCACGGCUAACUCUGUGCCAGCAGCCGCGGUAAUACAGAGGUGGCAAGCGUUGUUCGGAUUUACUGGGCGUAAAGGGUGCGUAGGCGGCCUAGUGUGUCGGGUGUGAAAUUCCACUGCUCAACGGUGGAACGGCGCCCGAAACUACAUGGCUAGAGUACAGAAAGGGAGAGCGGAAUUCCUGGUGUAGCGGUGAAAUGCGUUGAUAUCAGGAGGAACACCGGUGGCGAAGGCGGCUCUCUGGGAUGUAACUGACGCUGAGGCACGAAAGCUGGGGGAGCAAACAGGAUUAGAUACCCUGGUAGUCCCAGCCCUAAACGGUGCACACUUGGUGUGGGAGGAAUUGACCCCUCCCGUGCCGUAGCUAACGCGAUAAGUGUGCCGCCUGGGGAGUACGGCCGCAAGGCUAAAACUCAAAGAAAUUGACGGGGGCCCGCACAAGCGGAGGAGCAUGUGGCUUAAUUCGACGCAACGCGAAGAACCUUACCAGGGCUCGAAAUGUUGCUGCAGGCCCGCUGAAAGGUGGGCGGCCUUCGAGGGUGCAACAUAGGUGCUGCAUGGCUGUCGUCAGUUCGUGCCGUGAGGUGUUGGGUUAAGUCCCGCAACGAACGCAACCCUUGUGUUUAGUUGCCACCGGAGACGAUGAGUCUUCGAGCACUCUAGACAGACUGCCUGUACAAGCAGGAGGAAGGUGGGGAUGACGUCAAGUCAGUAUGGCCCUUACGUCCUGGGCUGCACACGUGCUACAAUGGUCGGUACAGUGGGAUGCAAGACCGCGAGGUGGAGCAAAUCCUCAAAACCGGCCCCAGUUCAGAUUGAAGUCUGCAACUCGACUUCAUGAAGUUGGAUUCGCUAGUAAUGGUGCAUCAGAUACGGCACCGUGAAUACGUUCCCGGGCCUUGUACACACCGCCCGUCACAUCAUGAAAGCCGUCUGCACCCGAAGUCGCUAUACCAACCGGAAACGGAGGAAAGCGCCUAAGGUGUGGGUGGUGAUUGGGAUGAAGUCGGAACAAGGCA